This 253-nucleotide ribosomal RNA is filed under the name uncultured bacterium. Its description in RNAcentral is "partial 16S ribosomal RNA". It matches the Rfam family "Bacterial small subunit ribosomal RNA", at positions 524 to 776 of the family's 1533-position model. The record is from RNAcentral.
UACGUAGGGUGCAAGCGUUGUCCGGAAUUAUUGGGCGUAAAGAGCUUGUAGGCGGUUUGUCGCGUCUGCUGUGAAAUUUCGGGGCUCAACCCCGAACUUGCAGUGGGUACGGGCAGACUAGAGUGUGGUAGGGGAGACUGGAAUUCCUGGUGUAGCGGUGAAAUGCGCAGAUAUCAGGAGGAACACCGGUGGCGAAGGCGGUGGUCUGGGCCGACACUGACGCUGAGGAGCGAAAGCGUGGGGAGCGAACAGG